This 847-nucleotide ribosomal RNA is filed under the name uncultured Acidobacteriota bacterium. RNAcentral describes it as "bacterial SSU rRNA". It matches the Rfam family "Bacterial small subunit ribosomal RNA", at positions 71 to 896 of the family's 1533-position model. Lineage: Bacteria; Pseudomonadati; Acidobacteriota. The record is from RNAcentral.
AAAGUCCCGCAAGGGAUAAGUAGAGUGGCAAACGGGUGAGUAACACGUGGGUGACCUGCCUUCGAGUGGGGGAUAACGUCCCGAAAGGGACGCUAAUACCGCAUAACAUCCUGCCUUUGAAGAGGUGGAGAUCAAAGCUGGGGACCGCAAGGCCUAGCGCUCAAAGAGGGGCCCGCGCCUGAUUAGCUAGUUGGUGAGGUAACGGCCCACCAAGGCUACGAUCAGUAUCCGGCCUGAGAGGGCGGACGGACACACUGGGACUGAGACACGGCCCAGACUCCUACGGGAGGCAGCAGUGGGGAAUUGUUCGCAAUGGGCGCAAGCCUGACGACGCAACGCCGCGUGGAGGAUGAAGACCUUCGGGUCGUAAACUCCUUUCGAUCGAGACGAAUGGCUUCCGGGUGAACAAUCCGGGAGAAUGACGGUACCGAGAGAAGAAGCCCCGGCUAACUCCGUGCCAGCAGCCGCGGUAAUACGGGGGGGGCAAGCGUUGUUCGGAAUUACUGGGCGUAAAGGGCUCGUAGGCGGCCAACUAAGUCAGACGUGAAAUCCCUCGGCUUAACCGGGGAACUGCGUCUGAUACUGGAUGGCUUGAGAUUGGGAGAGGGAUGCGGAAUUCCAGGUGUAGCGGUGAAAUGCGUAGAUAUCUGGAGGAACACCGGUGGCGAAGGCGACAUCCUGGACCAACACUGACGCUGAGGAGCGAAAGCCAGGGGAGCAAACGGGAUUAGAUACCCCGGUAGUCCUGGCCCUAAACGAUGAAUGCUUGGUGUGGCGGGUAUCGAUCCCUGCCGUGCCGAAGCUAACGCAUUAAGCAUUCCGCCUGGGGAGUACGGUCGCAAGGCUG